This 90-nucleotide transfer RNA is filed under the name Patescibacteria group bacterium. Its description in RNAcentral is "tRNA-Ser". It matches the Rfam family "tRNA". From Rfam's summary of the family: Transfer RNA (tRNA) molecules are approximately 80 nucleotides in length. Their secondary structure includes four short double-helical elements and three loops (D, anti-codon, and T loops). Further hydrogen bonds mediate the characteristic L-shaped molecular structure. tRNAs have two regions of fundamental functional importance: the anti-codon, which is responsible for specific mRNA codon recognition, and the 3' end, to which the tRNAs corresponding amino acid is attached (by aminoacyl-tRNA synthetases). tRNAs cope with the degeneracy of the genetic code in two manners: having more than one tRNA (with a specific anti-codon) for a particular amino acid; and 'wobble' base-pairing, i.e. permitting non-standard base-pairing at the 3rd anti-codon position. The record is from RNAcentral.
GGAGGCGUGCCGGAGUGGUUGAACGGGUCAGUUUCGAAAACUGAUAAGCCAGAAAUGGUUUCGAGGGUUCGAAUCCUUCCGCCUCCGCCA